RNAcentral lists this ribosomal RNA (722 nucleotides) under uncultured Pseudomonadota bacterium. Its description in RNAcentral is "bacterial SSU rRNA". It matches the Rfam family "Bacterial small subunit ribosomal RNA", at positions 59 to 770 of the family's 1533-position model. The record is from RNAcentral. Lineage: Bacteria; Pseudomonadati; Pseudomonadota.
AAGUCGAACGGUAACAGGAAGAAGCUUGCUUCUUUGCUGACGAGUGGCGGACGGGUGAGUAAUGUCUGGGAAACUGCCUGAUGGAGGGGGAUAACUACUGGAAACGGUAGCUAAUACCGCAUAACGUCGCAAGACCAAAGAGGGGGACCUUCGGGCCUCUUGCCAUCGGAUGUGCCCAGAUGGGAUUAGCUAGUAGGUGGGGUAACGGCUCACCUAGGCGACGAUCCCUAGCUGGUCUGAGAGGAUGACCAGCCACACUGGAACUGAGACACGGUCCAGACUCCUACGGGAGGCAGCAGUGGGGAAUAUUGCACAAUGGGCGCAAGCCUGAUGCAGCCAUGCCGCGUGUAUGAAGAGGGCCUUCGGGUUGUAAAGUACUUUCAGCGGGGAGGAAGGGAGUAAAGUUAAUACCUUUGCUCAUUGACGUUACCCGCAGAAGAAGCACCGGCUAACUCCGUGCCAGCAGCCGCGGUAAUACGGAGGGUGCAAGCGUUAAUCGGAGUUACUGGGCGUAAAGCGCACGCAGGCGGUUUGUUAAGUCAGAUGUGAAAUCCCCGGGCUCAACCUGGGAACUGCAUCUGAUACUGGCAAGCUUGAGUCUCGUAGAGGGGGGUAGAAUUCCAGGUGUAGCGGUGAAAUGCGUAGAGAUCUGGAGGAAUACCGGUGGCGAAGGCGGCCCCCUGGACGAAGACUGACGCUCAGGUGCGAAAGCGUGGGGAGCA